RNAcentral lists this ribosomal RNA (209 nucleotides) under uncultured Erysipelothrix sp. RNAcentral's name for it is "partial 16S ribosomal RNA". It matches the Rfam family "Bacterial small subunit ribosomal RNA", at positions 1174 to 1382 of the family's 1533-position model. The record is from RNAcentral. Lineage: Bacteria; Bacillati; Bacillota; Erysipelotrichia; Erysipelotrichales; Erysipelotrichaceae.
UGGGGAUGACGUCAAAUCAUCAUGCCCUUAUGGCCUAGGCUACAAACGUAAUACAAUGGCGUAUACAAAGGGAUGCGAAAGGGCGACCUGGAGCAAAACUACACAAAGUACGUCUCAGUUCAGAUUGGAGUCUGCAACUCGACUCCAUGAAGGCGGAAUCGCUAGUAAUCGCGGAUCAGCAUGCCGCGGUGAAUACGUUCUCGGGGUUU